This 500-nucleotide ribosomal RNA is filed under the name uncultured bacterium. Its description in RNAcentral is "partial 16S ribosomal RNA". It matches the Rfam family "Bacterial small subunit ribosomal RNA", at positions 30 to 523 of the family's 1533-position model. The record is from RNAcentral.
AUUGAACGCUGGCGGAAUGCUUUACACAUGCAAGUCGAACGGCAGCACGGACUUCGGUCUGGUGGCGAGUGGCGAACGGGUGAGUAAUGUAUCGGAACGUGCCCAGUCGUGGGGGAUAACGUAGUGAAAAUUACGCUAAUACCGCAUACGAUCUAUGGAUGAAAGCGGGGGAUCGCAAGACCUCGCGCGAUUGGAGCGGCCGAUAUCAGAUUAGGUAGUUGGUGGGGUAAAGGCCCACCAAGCCAACGAUCUGUAGCUGGUCUGAGAGGACGACCAGCCACACUGGCAGUGAGACACGGUGCAGAGUCCUACGGGUGGCAGCAGUGGGGAAUGUUGGACAAUGGGCGAAAGCCUGAUCCAGCCAUUCCGCGUGCAGGAUGAAGGCCCUCGGGUUGUAAACUGCUUUUGUACAGAACGAAAAGGUUUCUACUAAUACUAGGAGCUCAUGACGGUACUGUAAGAAUAAGCACCGGCUAACUACGUGCCAGCAGCCGCAGUAA